GACGAACGCUGGCGGCGUGCUUAACACAUGCAAGUCGAACGGAAAGGCCCUGCUUUUGUGGGGUGCUCGAGUGGCGAACGGGUGAGUAACACGUGAGUAACCUGCCCUUGACUUUGGGAUAACUUCAGGAAACUGGGGCUAAUACCGGAUAGGAGCUCCUGCUGCAUGGUGGGGGUUGGAAAGUUUCGGCGGUUGGGGAUGGACUCGCGGCUUAUCAGCUUGUUGGUGGGGUAGUGGCUUACCAAGGCUUUGACGGGUAGCCGGCCUGAGAGGGUGACCGGCCACAUUGGGACUGAGAUACGGCCCAGACUCCUACGGGAGGCAGCAGUGGGGAAUAUUGCACAAUGGGCGGAAGCCUGAUGCAGCGACGCCGCGUGCGGGAUGACGGCCUUCGGGUUGUAAACCGCUUUCGCCUGUGACGAAGCGUGAGUGACGGUAAUGGGUAAAGAAGCACCGGCUAACUACGUGCCAGCAGCCGCGGUGAUACGUAGGGUGCGAGCGUUGUCCGGAUUUAUUGGGCGUAAAGGGCUCGUAGGUGGUUGAUCGCGUCGGAAGUGUAAUCUUGGGGCUUAACCCUGAGCGUGCUUUCGAUACGGGUUGACUUGAGGAAGGUAGGGGAGAAUGGAAUUCCUGGUGGAGCGGUGGAGUGCGCAGAUAUCAGGAGGAACACCAGUGGCGAAGGCGGUUCUCUGGGCCUUUCCUGACGCUGAGGAGCGAAAGCGUGGGGAGCGAACAGGCUUAGAUACCCUGGUAGUCCACGCUGUAAACGGUGGGUACUAGGUGUGGGGUCCAUUCCACGGGUUCCGUGCCGUAGCUAACGCUUUAAGUACCCCGCCUGGGGAGUACGGCCGCAAGGCUAAAACUCAAAGGAAUUGACGGGGCCCCGCACAAGCGGCGGAGCAUGCGGAUUAAUUCGAUGCAACGCGUAGAACCUUACCUGGGUUUGACAUGGAUCGGGAGUGCUCAGAGAUGGGUGUGCCUCUUUUGGGGUCGGUUCACAGGUGGUGCAUGGCUGUCGUCAGCUCGUGUCGUGAGAUGUUGGGUUAAGUCCCGCAACGAGCGCAACCCUUGUUCACUGUUGCCAGCACGUUAUGGUGGGGACUCAGUGGAGACCGCCGGGGUCAACUCGGAGGAAGGUGGGGAUGACGUCAAGUCAUCAUGCCCCUUAUGUCCAGGGCUUCACGCAUGCUACAAUGGCUGGUACAGAGAGUGGCGAGCCUGUGAGGGUGAGCGAAUCUCGGAAAGCCGGUCUCAGUUCGGAUUGGGGUCUGCAACUCGACCUCAUGAAGUCGGAGUCGCUAGUAAUCGCAGAUCAGCAACGCUGCGGUGAAUACGUUCCCGGG
Molecule: ribosomal RNA, 1343 nt
Filed under: uncultured bacterium
Lineage: Bacteria
Description: 16S ribosomal RNA
Rfam family: Bacterial small subunit ribosomal RNA
Source: RNAcentral